This is a small nuclear RNA of Otolemur garnettii (small-eared galago), 60 nucleotides long. Its record names the gene U7. It matches the Rfam family "U7 small nuclear RNA". From Rfam's summary of the family: Animal histone pre-mRNAs are spliced by a different mechanism than nuclear pre-mRNAs and self-splicing introns. This processing involves the U7 snRNP, which contains only one RNA species: U7. NCBI's taxonomy places the organism in Eukaryota, Metazoa, Chordata, Mammalia, Primates, Galagidae. The record is from Ensembl.
UAGUGUUACAACUCUUAGAAUUUGUCUAGUAGGUUUUACAGUCCUCACCAGAAGACUCCU